CAUCCGGCGACGCCCCCAGAGGGCGUCCCGAACAUUUGAAACGUGGCGGCGGUGCCCUGGAAGCUGGAGGCCCGGGAGUGGUGAUGCCCUUCUGUGUCCCGUAGCGCUUCGCGGACGCUUCGGCCCCUCUGUAUCGCAGAGUGACCGGGGCUCCGGCCUUCUCUGGUCAAUCGUCUGGCUCGGGUCUCACAGCUGGCGGCAGGGGGAGAGAGAGAGAGAGCCAGGGGAGCAGCAGGCAGAGCAAGAAGCAGAUUCCAUGAAGAGCAAGUAGCCUGAUGGGACUUGAUCCCAGGACUCUGGAUCAUGACCUGAGCCGAAGGCAGACGCUUAACUGACUGAGCUACCCAGAUUUUUCGUGCACAUGGUACAAAAUUCAGAAAGUGCCCAGUGAAGGUGCUCUUGCUUACAACCCUGCUUCCAGCCCUUCCUCCUCAGAGGUGACCACUCUUAGCAGUAUCUGGUGCUUUCUUUUAGAGAUGUUCCAUCCAGACUUAAGCCCAAAAGCAGGUUCUCUGGUGUCCUCCCCUCUCCCUGCCAAGAUGGUCUCAUCUCCAGCCGCUGGGAGCCCCUUCAAGUUGGAUGCUGAGCCUUGUGACCCAGCCUGCGUCAUCUUUGAUAACUUCCUGGCUUUCUGGAAGAACAAAAUGUUCUGGACUCAUCUUGUACUUUUCCUUCCCAAGUCCUGGAAUCCACCAUCUCUCUGAGGAGCCCUGGGUCCCUUCCACGAGAAGUGCCAUUGGGAGGCCACAGCCUGGGUUGGGGAGAUGGAGGGAAGCAGCAAGCUCUGGGUGAGGAGCCCAUAGCCUGGCAGCCCCCUCCACCUCCCCUGGCGGUGGGGCAUUAGAGGUCCGGUCAAGUCCUCCCAGACUCACCUGAGGCCGAGAACAAAGAUAUGGGAAAUAUUCAUGCUCUGUACCCCUGGGCUGCGAUGGCGCAGUGGGAGCACGUGGACCUGGAUUCAAGCCCCAGCUCUGCUGCUGUGUGUCCGAGUGACUAUGGGCACGUGACUUACCCUCUCUGAGCCUCGGGAGCCUCAUCUGUGAGAUGGGGUUAAUAGUACUCACCUUGUGUUAGCGUGAGGAUGACAUGAGACAACACACUUAGAUUUCUGACCUAUCUCACUUACAGCAGGUGCUUGCUCAGUGAGUGUGAAUUCCCUUCUGAUCCCUCCUUGACCAUGUGACUUCAGCAUCCCCGGAGGCUGGGACUGGAUUAUUGGAUGGUUUCGGACAGGAGAAUGGAGGUGGCUAGGGAAGAGGAAGAAAUUGGGAAAUAGAUGUUUGUGGACAAAUCAAUGGGAGCUGGGGGUGUGGUUAAUUCAAAACAGGGACGAUGAUUUUAAUGGUCAGAUCUGUCCAACAAAGGAAGGUUCUGUUUGCUUGGGAAAGGGGGAGGGCCUCCUAUUGCUAGAAGUAUGUAAGUAGAGGCAGAGGGACCAUUGCCACAGGUAGGUUUUUGUGAAGAUUCCCACACUGGCCGGGAGGUUGAUUCAUUCACUCAGCAAACUUUUGGAAUCCUCCUGGUCCUUGCCCAGCCCUAUGAUGGGACAGGGGAUGCCAAGGUGACUGGGAUACCAUUUCUGGCCCAGGGAGCACCCAGUCCAGGGAAGGAACUGAUCUCCAAGGUCCCUUCUACUCUGCGCUUCUGUGCUUUUUAGGGUCCAAGCCUUGGAGGGAGUUGGCUGAAGGUUUUCAGCGUGCGCCUUUUGGUAUUGAUUACCCGGAGCUGGAGCUGGAGCUGGCUGGGGAGCCGCAGGAGGAGGACGCUGCAGUGUUAUUAGUGCGGAGGACACGCUGUAAUCUGUCAGUGUCACCCUGGUCGCAGCUGGUGGGGGACACAGCCCGCUGUUAACUCCUCCCUUCCCAGCAGCCACUGAGCAUAUAACUUGUAUCGCACCCUCCCCAGCACCUCUAUCUGCCCCUAUACGAGGGAGAAUUUCUUUUUCUAUUUCUCCCUGGCAUGAGCCCUCCGUCCCUGUCAUACUGAUUUAUUCAGUGUUUCCCACCUCUGUACCUUCAGUUACCAGAUUUCCCUACCAGCUACAGUCACUAAAUCCACUCCCAUCCAUCCAACCAUCCAUCCAUCCAUCCAUCCAUCCAUCCAUCCAUCCAUCCAUCAUCUUAGCACCUAAAAAUCCACCCAUUUUCCCAUUUAUCCAACCAACUAUUCAUCUAAAUAUCCAUCCAAUCAUCCAUCUAUCCACCCAUCCGUCCAGCUAACAACUGUCCACCUAUCCGUCUAUCCAUCUGUCUCCCCACUCACCCUCCAUCCGUUCAGCCUUACAAUUCAGUUCAGGCCAAUUCAAUUCAACCCAACUAAGUUCAAUUCCAUUCAUCUCUACUCACUUGAUAAGAUUAUGAGGCCUUGCCACGUGCCAAGCAGGUGAUAAGUGAGUCAUGUCUGUUGUUAACAAGCCCAUGAGAUGAAUCCUCUUCACCUUUCAUGGCCAGCUUUGAGCCUUCCCUCUUUUAGCCCUUUGCCAGUGUGUUAGAAGCAGUUGACUCUAAAGGACAGUCCUAUGGGGAAAAAAAAGUUUAGCCUGGUUCUCAAAACCUCCAUAGGUCAGAACUAAGAUGAGGAGAGAAGCAGAGAGUCUCUGGGAGACGGGAGGGAGGUGAGUGUGAGGUAAGCCAAUGGGACAGGGAUUUUGGUUCUCUAGAGGGAGGCGCUUCUGUUCAGCGGUGGGCAGUCUAGCAGGACUGAAUGGGUAUGCACUGGGUGAUGAAGAUAGGGGAACAAGUUAGAGACCAGUGUUAGAGAAGUAGGGGUAGGAUGGGAGUUAGAAUAGGGGAACCAACAGACUGCUUGGCUUACUGUCCCAGCUCCACCAUAUUCCUGCUGCGUGACUUUGGUCCUCUAUCUUAACCUCUUCCAUCCCCAUUUCCUCAUUUGUAAAAUGGGGCUAAUAAAUUGGAUCUAUCUCACAGUGUUGCUGUUAGCAUUAAAAUGGAAAGUGUUUAAUGCCCGGCACAAAGGGAAAGCCGACUAGAUUCUAGCCAUGAUUAUGAUGACUCUUCGUUGAGCCCCACCUACAUCCAGGCACUGUGCUAGGCGCUUUCACGUUCAAGGUCUCCUGGGGGCAUCCUGGUUGCUUAUCCUACACAGGGAUUAUCAAACCCAUUUUGCAGGUGAGGAGAUGGAGGCUCCGGGAGGCUGUCUCUGGCUUACAUCACACAGCUGGGGAAGGGUCAAGCUGGGCUGCAAAUACAGGCCUUUCUAACUCUCCUGCCCACCUGCCCUCUUCUGCUGUUUUCAGAGGAUGGCUGCCCGGAGAUACAAGGAUGCUGAAACUUCCAUCUUGGUUCUGUCUGGGCUGCUUUCUUGGACUUCUCAACUUUUAGCCUGGAGUUGUUAAUUAUCGUUUCAUGUGUGUUUUCUCUCUCCUUCAGAGAGCUUGAGGUUGAGAAACAGUUUUUCUUCUCUGUAGCAACCGAAGCGUUGACUUUGACAAUGAAAGCUACAGAACUUGUGAUAUUUCCCUUCUUGCGUGGCUUGCCAGGAACCUUGUGCUUUUUGUCAUAUUGCUUCUUUUUCCUUUCCAGGGUGCUUGGAUGUAGGAAAGGGACAUACCUUACUUAUAUCUGUCUCCUUACAGUGUCUAGCCCUGGCUCGGUGAAUUUUGCAUAGAAAGCUCUGUGGUGAUUUUCCCUGUCGUGUGUGGGUCAGGGGCUCUCCUUGCACUUAGAAUAAAAUCCAAAGUCCUGCCCUGUGAGGACUCACCCCUGCCCACCUCUUCCUACUCAUCUCAUGUCACUUGUCCCUCGUUUAUCAGGGAUAAUCACCUGGGUCAUCUUUUAUGUCUACUCACAGGCCCAAUUCUUUUCUGCCUCAUGGAAAAGGAGCUUUGCACCUGCUGUUCCCUACUCCCAGAACCUUCCCUCCUCUCCCAUUCCCUGUGUUUGCCCGGCUCACCCUCCUUACUCUGCAAAUUUCAGACGAAAGUAUCGGUGAGAGCCUCUACGGACAGCUCUAUCUAAAGGGGUUGCGGUAUCUAACCUUCAAAGGCGGUGCCUGAUGGCUCCUCCCCUCUCAGCUGCACUGGCUGCUGAUCCCAGCAGGAGGUGGACUCAGUUUCUCCACCCCCUGGACCUGGCCUGGGGUUUGCUUUGACCCACAGAAUGUAGCAGAGGUGACUUGCUGGGAUUUCUGAGGCUAGGCCCUUGGAAGAUGAGCAGCCUCUAAUUUCUGCUGCUUGGACCCCAGCUGCCAUGCUGAGAGAGGCCCAAGACACAUAGAGGGGCCACCGGGGGCAGAAAUGAGGGGUUCGGGUCUAGAACAUCCCCGAGCUCCCAGCCAGCAGUCUGCGUCGACUAUGGCACGUGGGUGAGCCCCUGUGGUGGUUCCAGCCCAGUCAGGCCCUCAGAUGACCACACCUGCUCCCCUUCUGCCCCUGUCAUCAUCCUGGGGUGCAGAAGAACCAUGGGAUUGGGAGGGAUAAGAAAAUAGUUAUUAUAGGGGCGCCUGGGUGGCAUAGCAGUUAAGCGUCUGCCUUCAGCUCAGGGCGUGAUCCCGGCGUUAUGGGAUCGAGCCCCUGG
Molecule: long non-coding RNA, 4535 nt
Organism: Ailuropoda melanoleuca (giant panda)
Lineage: Eukaryota; Metazoa; Chordata; Mammalia; Carnivora; Ursidae
Exons: 4
Source: RefSeq, a predicted model, not a curated record